GCUGAUGUAGCUCAAUUGGUAGAGCACCUGAUUUGUAAUCAGGCGGUUAAGGGUUCAAGUCCCUUCAUCAGCUCCA
RNAcentral lists this transfer RNA (76 nucleotides) under Pseudomonadota bacterium. Its description in RNAcentral is "Proteobacteria bacterium tRNA-Thr". It matches the Rfam family "tRNA". Rfam says of the family: Transfer RNA (tRNA) molecules are approximately 80 nucleotides in length. Their secondary structure includes four short double-helical elements and three loops (D, anti-codon, and T loops). Further hydrogen bonds mediate the characteristic L-shaped molecular structure. tRNAs have two regions of fundamental functional importance: the anti-codon, which is responsible for specific mRNA codon recognition, and the 3' end, to which the tRNAs corresponding amino acid is attached (by aminoacyl-tRNA synthetases). tRNAs cope with the degeneracy of the genetic code in two manners: having more than one tRNA (with a specific anti-codon) for a particular amino acid; and 'wobble' base-pairing, i.e. permitting non-standard base-pairing at the 3rd anti-codon position. The record is from RNAcentral. Lineage: Bacteria; Pseudomonadati; Pseudomonadota.